Molecule: non-coding RNA, 198 nt
Organism: Vicia faba (fava bean)
Lineage: Eukaryota; Viridiplantae; Streptophyta; Magnoliopsida; Fabales; Fabaceae
Source: the annotation of a GenBank genome assembly
AUGACUUCUAAAUAUGUAUCAAAAACUAUGUUGAUAGUUUGGUCGAGAAACACUUACGGAAAAUUGGAAUUUGAAUGCAAAAAUUCAAAGGUUGGCAGGUUUUGUAUUUGGGCUGCAGCUUCGAAUUCCUGGAAUUUUAAGCAAGGUUUCAAGGCUUUUCUUUUCGAUUUUUUUUUACCUUUUUACAGUUGCCAAUGA